GACGAACGCUGGCGGCGUGCUUAACACAUGCAAGUCGAACGGAAAGGCCCUGCUUUUGUGGGGUGCUCGAGUGGCGAACGGGUGAGUAACACGUGAGUAACCUGCCCUUGACUUUAGGAUAACUUCAGGAAACUGGGGCUAAUACCGGAUAGGAGCUCCUGCUGCUUGGUGGGGGUUGGAAAGUUUCGGCGGUUUGGGAUGGACUCGCGGCUUAUCAGCUUGUUGGUGGGGUAGUGGAUUACCAAGGCUUUGAGCGGUAGCCGGCCUGGGUGGGUGACCGGACACGUUGGGACUGAGAUGCGGCACAGACUACUACGGGAGGCGGGAGUGGGGAAUAUAGCACAAUGGGAGGAAGCCUGAUGCAGCAAAGCCGCGUGGGGGAUGACGGGCAUCGAGUUGUAAACCGCUUUCGCCUGUGACGAAGAGUGAGUGACGGUAAUGAGUAAAGAAGCACCGGCUAACUACGUG
RNAcentral lists this ribosomal RNA (468 nucleotides) under uncultured bacterium. RNAcentral describes it as "partial 16S ribosomal RNA". It matches the Rfam family "Bacterial small subunit ribosomal RNA", at positions 28 to 507 of the family's 1533-position model. The record is from RNAcentral.